CUCCUGCAUCCCCAGCCCGCUCCAGCAUCAGCAUCCAUCCCACUGGCCUCCCGGCCGACAGCCGGGACCAGCCUCACCUCCUGCCCCGCUCCUACCCUACUGUGCAUUCCAAGCCCUUUUCACAGCCUAAAGGCUUAGUUUCCCCAGAAACAGACGCCAAAGAGUGUUUCUGCUUUGCAUCCAAACUUCUUUGUACAAGUUGCGCACUCUGUGGGGGAAGGAGGCAAAAAAAAAGCCAUCGGUCACCCCGAUGGCAUUUUAAAACAUCAGACUGGGAAGACAGAACCUGUGCCAGCUUAGAUCCAUCAUUCCCUGAUACUGUGAUGGGUAGGGGUAGGAGAUUCAGCCAUGCAGGUCUGUGGCCCAGCUCCUGUUCCAGCUGUACAGAUGCAGUGCCAGAAAAUAGACAAUCCAAUGGCUAUUGUUCAAUCUGGAGAUGGGCCAAGAUUGGAAAGGGAGAUAAGAAAAUGACUGUUUGCAGCUGUUGUUUGGACUCUGGGCACAUCCUGGAUGGAGAAAAGUCGUUUCCCACACUGGGCUUGGAAGUAAUGCUGCUGUCCAACAGGGAUGCAAGGGCAGAGCUGCUGAGCUCUUCACCAUCAUUCUGGAGCUGAACUCAGGCCCUGAUCUGGUCGUGUCCUCAAGGUCUCCUUUAGUCAGUGGAUCUUCAGGCAGAAGCUGGGUUGCUUUGCUGCAGAGUCAAAGGCAGUGGAUGUAUUUUCAGACUUCUCGUCCACUGAAACUGGUGAGACCUAACCCCACCAGCCUGAUGGCGAUGCAGGCAGCCCAGAACUGAUGAAUCCAGUUGCAUUCAGAAUCACAAAAGCAAAAGUAGGUGGUGUAAACUAUGGAAUUCACAUAGUGCUCAAUGAAGGAACAUCCUUCAAAGCCUCCUACAGUAAUCAGCACAUUGGAAAUGCCUUCCAGCACAGACAUUGCCAAGGAAAUAAAAAUUCCAUAUUUUUAAAGUGAUACUAAAAGAACAAAAAACCCAUCCCAAAUGUCUUUUAGGAAAGUGACAGAAAGCUUAUUGUACUGUGUUAUCUUCAUGUCUGAAAAAUUAAACCUACCUGUAUUAAACUCAAUAA
Molecule: long non-coding RNA, 1088 nt
Organism: Pseudopipra pipra
Lineage: Eukaryota; Metazoa; Chordata; Aves; Passeriformes; Pipridae
Exons: 2
Source: RefSeq, a predicted model, not a curated record